This 494-nucleotide unclassified non-coding RNA is filed under the name uncultured Glomus. RNAcentral's name for it is "SSU rRNA". It matches the Rfam family "Eukaryotic small subunit ribosomal RNA", at positions 569 to 1070 of the family's 1831-position model. The record is from RNAcentral. Lineage: Eukaryota; Fungi; Glomeromycota; Glomeromycetes; Glomerales; Glomeraceae.
AGCAGCCGCGGUAAUUCCAGCUCCAAUAGCGUAUAUUAAAGUUGUUGCAGUUAAAAAGCUCGUAGUUGAAUUUCGGGAUCAAGUCGUCGGUCGUGCUCAAGUACGUACUGGCGUCAUUGAUUUCUCCCUUCUGACGAACCAUGAUGUCAUUAAUUUGGUGUUAUGGGAAAUCAGGACUGUUACUUUGAAAAAUUAGAGUGUUUAAAGCAGGCUCACGCUUGAAUACAUUAGCAUGGAAUAAUGAAAUAGGACGUUCGAUCCUAUUUUGUUGGUUUUAGGAUCAACGUAAUGAUUAAUAGGGAUAGUUGGGGGCAUUAGUAUUCAAUUGUCAGAGGUGAAAUUCUUGGAUUUAUUGAAGACUAACUACUGCGAAAGCAUUUGCCAAGGAUGUUUUCAUUAAUCAAGAACGAAAGUUAGGGGAUCGAAGACGAUCAGAUACCGUCGUAGUCUUAACCAUAAACUAUGCCGACUAGGGAUCGGAUGAUGUUAAUUUU